Molecule: long non-coding RNA, 235 nt
Filed under: Dasypus novemcinctus (nine-banded armadillo)
Lineage: Eukaryota; Metazoa; Chordata; Mammalia; Cingulata; Dasypodidae
Description: lncRNA (ENSDNOG00000051082.1)
Source: RNAcentral
AGCUCUUUCUGGAGCCAGGAAACCGCACCUGUCUGUAUGCUGGAAGGUUUAUCACCUUUGCAAAUUAACAAGUUUCAUUUCCAUGGAGAUUAGGAAGAUGCAGCAGAAAGCAGCCAAGGGAAAAUCAUGGAAGACCGAGGGAAAAAGGAUCACUGCCUGCAAGUGUCCUUGUGAGAUGGUAAGUUCACCUCUGGAAAAAUGCCCAAAAAUAUGAACCACUCUCAACUUUUCUAUA